CAGCCCCACAAUGUUGUAUGGCACAACUUUCAGUUCAGUAUGUUCAUGUUAUAACAAAGUCAGCUUCCAUCCGAUGGGCCAGACUCGCCCAGCAGUGAAGUCUCAGCAGACUCCUGCCCCCAUGCCUGGCCACAGAGCAUAUAUGCAGAAUUAUAUGAUGGGGCUGCCUAGAAACUGGGGAGAUUUUAUUGAGUCUCUACACUGUGAAAUGACUGUGUUGGCAGAAAACACUAGAGUCUACCUUUCCUAUCACCCAGAAAUGGAGGCAGAAGAACAGGUUUCUGGAUAUCCAGUCUGCCCAGACUUCAAGUUUUUAUGGUGCUUCAGCAGUGCUAGGGUGUACUUUCGUACAUGAUGACAAGACCUACUUCAUAUUCAAAGCAGUAAAUGAGUUCAGCAUGUGACAAGAAGAUAAGUACCCCCACAUAGUUUGCUUCCAAGUGGAUCAGUUCUUCAGUGUAUAUUAAGCUCUUCCAGAUUUAUUCCUAGUUGUUGGCUGUUUGCCAGGGUUGAAUUUUGUUUGGUUGUACAGUACAUUGAAUGGUCCCAGGUGCUGGAAUAUUAAUGUUAUGCCCAGUUCUUAUUUACAGUUUUUCUUAGGUUGCUAUGAACUGUCAAGAGUUGUAGCAUGCUUAUUUUGUAACAGUUAAAAAUAUGGAUGUAUUGUUAAAACGUUUUUGUCUAUAUUGAGAGAGAAAUAAUUGGAUUCUCAUCAUAGAAUACACCGAUGAAAGGUUGUUUACAUGGUUUAAGUUCAGAUUUCUCCAUGACGUAUAGCAGUAUUAAGAUGAGGCCUAGUUUGCAGAGAUACUUAUAAAGAUUAUAAAAUUCCUUAUACUGGACUUCACUGUUCCUUUGCUGCAGUCGUUUCAAUGUAUAUUUGUAUGUAAAUUGUGAACAUAUUAAGGCAAGGUUUAAAAUCUUAAGAUUUUUAUAUGGAUG
Long non-coding RNA from Hemicordylus capensis (graceful crag lizard), 942 nucleotides. RefSeq lists it as uncharacterized. The transcript has 3 exons. NCBI's taxonomy places the organism in Eukaryota, Metazoa, Chordata, Lepidosauria, Squamata, Cordylidae. The record is from RefSeq and is a predicted model, not a curated record.